This 253-nucleotide ribosomal RNA is filed under the name uncultured bacterium. Its description in RNAcentral is "partial 16S ribosomal RNA". It matches the Rfam family "Bacterial small subunit ribosomal RNA", at positions 524 to 776 of the family's 1533-position model. The record is from RNAcentral.
UACGAAGGGGACUAGCGUUGUUCGGAAUCACUGGGCGUAAAGCGCACGUAGGCGGAUUUGUAAGUCAGGGGUGAAAUCCCGGGGCUCAACUCCGGAACUGCCAUUGAAACUGUUUAGCUUGAGGAUGAGAGAGGUAAGUGGAAUUCCGAGUGUAGAGGUGAAAUUCGUAGAUAUUCGGAAGAACACCAGUGGCGAAGGCGACUUACUGGACACAUAUUGACGCUGAGGUGCGAAAGCGUGGGGAGCAAACAGG